CCUACGGGAGGCAGCAGUGGGGAAUAUUGCACAAUGGGGGAAACCCUGAUGCAGCGACGCCGCGUGAGUGAAGAAGUAUCUCGGUACGUAAAGCUCUAUCAGCAGGGAAGAUAAUGACGGUACCUGACCAAGAAGCCCCGGCUAACUACGUGCCAGCAGCCGCGGUAAUACGUAGGGGGCAAGCGUUAUCCGGAUUUACUGGGUGUAAAGGGAGCGUAGACGGUGCAGCAAGUCUGAUGUGAAAGGUCGGGGCCCAACCCCGGGACUGCAUUGGAAACUGUUGAACGGGAGUACAGGAGAGGUAAGCGGAAUUCCUGGUGUAGCGGUGAAAUGCGUAGAUAUUAGGAGGAACACCAGUGGCGAAGGCGGCUUACUGGACUGUAACUGACGUUGAGGAUCGAAAGCGUGGGGAGCAAACAGGAUUAGAUACCCUUGUAGUC
This 440-nucleotide ribosomal RNA is filed under the name uncultured bacterium. RNAcentral describes it as "partial 16S ribosomal RNA". It matches the Rfam family "Bacterial small subunit ribosomal RNA", at positions 338 to 795 of the family's 1533-position model. The record is from RNAcentral.